UGCCAGCAGCCGCGGUAACACGGGGGGCGCAAGCGUUAUUCGGAAUUACUGGGCGUAAAGCGCGCGUAGGCGGACUAUUAAGUCAGGGGUGAAAUCCCGGGGCUCAACCCCGGAACUGCCUUUGAUACUGGUAGUCUUGAGUUCGAGAGAGGUGAGUGGAAUUCCGAGUGUAGAGGUGAAAUUCGUAGAUAUCGGGAGGAAUACCGGUGGCGAAGGCGACCACCUGGCCAAAUACUGACGCUGAGGUGCGAAAGCGUGGGGAGCAAACAGGAUUAGAUA
RNAcentral lists this ribosomal RNA (279 nucleotides) under uncultured bacterium. RNAcentral's name for it is "partial 16S ribosomal RNA". It matches the Rfam family "Bacterial small subunit ribosomal RNA", at positions 506 to 784 of the family's 1533-position model. The record is from RNAcentral.